This 200-nucleotide ribosomal RNA is filed under the name uncultured eukaryote. RNAcentral's name for it is "partial 18S ribosomal RNA". It matches the Rfam family "Eukaryotic small subunit ribosomal RNA", at positions 585 to 783 of the family's 1831-position model. The record is from RNAcentral.
CCAGCUCCAAUAGCGUAUAUUAAAAGUUGUUGCGGUUAAAAAAGCUCGUAGUUGGAUUUCUGUCGGUGAGUGGCAGUCCGGCCUCUGUGUUGUGUACUUGUCACGCCACCGGCAUCUUCCUAGGGACUGUGUCUGCUCUUCAUUGAGUGGCGCAUAAUCUAGGACUUUUUACUUUGAGGAAAUAGGAGUGUUUCAAGCAG